Molecule: long non-coding RNA, 509 nt
Filed under: Brassica napus (rape)
Lineage: Eukaryota; Viridiplantae; Streptophyta; Magnoliopsida; Brassicales; Brassicaceae
Description: long non-coding RNA (BNAP_LNC026006)
Source: RNAcentral
AUAGUCAGACGCUUGUUUGAUAACUGUGAGAGUAGUUAACUGAAUUUGCUUGCUUGUAGUUUGUUUGAAACGAAAUCCACAUUUAAAUUUAAUGAACUUGUUAGUUCCAGUUGAAUGUGAAACUAGUUGUGUUGUGUGCAAUAACUUCUUAUUAGACUUGUUGUGUGGUUGUUUAUGGUUGAGCAUUAAGAGUUGAACUUAUUUCACAUUUCGGUUUUAGCUAUUUAACUACAUCUAUCUUUGAACUUGUUAGUCACCUCUCGGCUUACCUAAAACCAGAAACCAAAUAGGCUUUUCUUCCAUAAUCUUAUCUCACUCUUAUCGCUAUGGAUUCCUAUCCGUAUAGCCAAUCGUCUAGUUAUCUUAAUCUUCUUCACAGUCAACAACCAAGUGUUGUCCAUGAAAACUUUUCUUAUGAAAGUUAUAAUUCUAGUAGUGUUAACCUUGGAUCAUCAGACUUCCCUCCAUUCAGUUCACAACAAACGGAGGCUCCAACUCAACCUGAAGUC